AGAGACAGGAGAGUGAGAGGAGCUCAAUCAGAGGGGGGGACCCUACAGAACACUGACAGCAGAUAGUCGGGGGAGGAGAGGGAGAGCAGAGAGUCCAGUGUGGGUUUCGAUGACAGACCCACCGCCAAGGGUGCUCGGUAACGCCCCGUGAAACACCGGCAAUGGGUUUAAUGGGGGCUGCAAAACACCGACAAUGAGCUCAAUCGGAGGAGAGGAGGGAGUGCAGGGGGUCCGACAUGGUUCCGACGAAUGAACCACUGCGCGUUGACCGUCAAAGGGGAAGCAAGGCCCAGCAC
Molecule: long non-coding RNA, 296 nt
Filed under: Elaeis guineensis (African oil palm)
Lineage: Eukaryota; Viridiplantae; Streptophyta; Magnoliopsida; Arecales; Arecaceae
Description: long non-coding RNA (EGUI_LNC071105)
Source: RNAcentral